This 18120-nucleotide long non-coding RNA is filed under the name Cricetulus griseus (Chinese hamster). RNAcentral's name for it is "lncRNA (ENSCGRG00015034111.1)". Lineage: Eukaryota; Metazoa; Chordata; Mammalia; Rodentia; Cricetidae. The record is from RNAcentral.
UCCCUGAGUGUACAGAAAAUGGUUUUCAACACAUUUGCGAGAUGUUGGGUCAUUUUUUUCAGGUCCACAUUUUUUAUUUGACUCUUAAUAUUUUCCAUCUCUUACUAAUAUUCUACAUUCCAUGUGAUUUUUGCAUUUAUGUGCUUCUCUAAUUUCUUUUACGAUGACUAUUUGAAGUCUUUUUUAAACCCAACAAUUCAUUGCUCUUAAAGCAUUUUUAUGUUGCUCAUGUAUUUGUCUAAUCUAUGGUUCACGAGUUACUAUUUCUUUCUAUGUCUAAUGACUUUUUAUUGUUGAACUGGAUAUUUUAGGUAAUAUAUCUUACCAGUGAAGUUGUGAUAUUGUCUUAUUGCUCCCAGAUUUUGUUUUUUAAUUGUGCCUAUUUUUUCUAGUGACAGUCCAUCAUUCUAGUAAUAUUUAUUUUCCCCCCCUAAAGUAAAAGCUGCUGUGUCUUAUUUUGUGGGGUGCAGCCUUGGGUAAUCAGAGGUUGCUCUAAGAUGGCAUUUUUUUAAAAAAACAGAGUAGCAUGGCUCUUUUUGGCUAUUUCUUUCUUUAAUCAUAGCUUUGUUAAGCUUUAUAGUCAUCAGCAGACAUCCCAAGCUUACCCAUUACUAUCUCUCUCUGGUUCUCUCCUGCAGGUUAGCCAGCAUGUGAUCGCAUCUUUACCGCAGAUGAACCUGAUGACCUCUUCCUUGAUGUCUUCUAUCACCAGCCUCUUGCUACUGUCCUUAGGUUUGAGCUUCACAGUUGCUCCUUAAUGACAUCAAUUCCUUUAGAAGGUGUUUGGCUUGGGCUCUUGGAACUGAGUAUAAAGAAAGGCUCUCUCUGCUGCAUGACUGUGGAUGCAAUAUGAGCAGCCGCUGCAGGCUUCUGUCACCAUCACUGAACCUCAAAUGGUGGGCCUUAAUAAACUCUGUCUUCUUUAAGUGCCAUUCAUCAGGUAUUUCAUGGGAGUGGAUGAAGUCCUGAGUGAAUGUGUAUUGUUGACAAAGGUACAGCCAUGUUAAGGACCCUAAUGCCCCAGAUUCUAUAGAAACGACAAUGCCUUCCCAGGGUGGUGAGGAUCAGAGAAACAGCAAACCCUUUCUCUGCUUCCAAUAUUGGUGUUUAUAUGAAUGGUCAUCCUUCCACUGAACUCAGUGAGUUCAGAAACUAUCACCUGCAGCUUCCACCUCCUGGAUGUGACUGCUCUCCGACAGAGACCUCCCACAGAGACGGGCUAACCCCUCCUUCAUAUGCUGUACCUAUGGAACACACAGAGUUUCCAGGCUGCAGAGUAGGUGCCCUCUCUGAGGGUAAGCAUGGCCCACCUGGUCCCAGCUUCUGGGUGUGUGGCUUCUUCAGUGUGCCAUUUCUUCAUCCCUUGGUUGCCCCAGUAGGGUUUCUCGAACAUUGCCAUCCAUGACACAAGGCAUCUUGUUGUAGAAGAGUAGUUAUGCAGUGGUACCCACUGCCAUAACUGGUGAGUGGGAGCACUAUGAAAGAGGGCAUGGUGUCUUGACUCUACUUGCCUGGAGUAUAGUUUUCAUCUCACUGCAUUUGGAAGGGAGAAGAAAGAAUGGCUGUUAGUUCAAGUACCACAGGUUCUCAUUGUCCUAACCCAGUUUUGUAGCUCUUCUGGAAUCCUUUACUUUCAAAAUGCAUUUAGAACCACUUUUUGAAAAAAAAAAGACAUAAAAGUAGUUUUGUUUUGUUUUUGCUUUUAAAACCAUUUUUAACUAGUUUUAUAGAGAGGCAGUUGUGCAGGGCUCUGGUCUCAUGGUUUCUUGACAGAGUAGAGUUCACUUGUUUGUUUGUCUGCUUUUGGUGUUUCUAAUACCUAGUCUAAAAUUUAGCACAUCAUAGGCACUCAUCAUAUAGAUUGAUGGAAGAGUCUUUGCAAGGCUGUGUAACAGAAAGUGCAAUAGCUAAUUCCAUAUAUCAGUUUGUCUGUUCUCAGGCACUUGUGAAAGCGUUGCCUGUGUCUAUGAAGGUAUCAAUAGCUGUACUGAAGUCCUUCCUGAUAUGGGUUGACAUCGGCCAACCAAUUAACAAUAUAAAAGGUUGACCCUGUUGUGAAUAUGUAGGAACAACUUCAGCCAUCCACUGUGGAGCUGAGAUAUCAUUCUUUAUCUUCCUGUCUUCAGACUCAAACUGGAACUAUGGGCCUUCUGGUUCAGCCAGCCCACUGACAGUGGAGCUUGGGUUUUAUCAGCCUCAGAUACACACACACACACACACACACACACACACACACACACACACACACACACACGCACAUCUACCUCUGAUUAAUAAGGGAAAGAACACGUAGAAUCAACAUUGUGACAUAUAUGGGAUUUCAUGAUGCAGCAGCCUCGUUCUAUCAUCCCGUAGACACUGAGAACAGCAUCUUCCUGUGGCUGUUAAGUUGAUAUCUAGGCAGUGUCCAGUCUUCUUUUUUUAUAUGGGUGCAUCCAUGUCCAUGUGUGGAGAAGUGGAUAUGGAGUUUAGAGGCCAACCUUGGCUGUUUCUCAGGAGCUGCCACUUUGUUUUAUAAGACAAAGUCUCUCAGUGGUCUGGGGCUGCCUGGUAGGCUUGGCUGGGUGGUCAGUAAGCCCCAGGGUUCUUCCUGUCCCUGCUACCUCAAUGCUGGGAUUAUAAAAAUGUGCCGCCACAUUUGUUUUAUUUAUAUGGGCUCUGGGGUUUGAACUUAGGUCCUUCUGAGCUCUCUCCGCCACUCAAUUUUUCAUUUUUAAGGAGACUCCUUUUCAAGUGAGGCCUUCCUUGAUUACCCAAAUAAAAUCAGCCUUAAUCAUAUCCCCAUUCUUCACCUCAAUGCUGCAUUCAAACAAGUUCAGAUUUUGUGGGAGAGACACAUUAAGGUCUGUGUCUAGACAUGACUUCUUGAGAAUUAUGUCAGUUUUGGCUUAAAUCUUUGGAGAAAAUGGCAGUUGAGAGUGGCGUUUUAUUAUUAUGAGCCUCUGUCAAUACGAGUCUCUGUUGAAUAAUUUCCCAUCAGCAUUAGCAUGCUGGCUCGAUGCUCCCUUCCCACUUUGCAUUGCAUUCACGCAGACCCUAUUAUCUGAUCCUACAGAGAUCUUGUUUAUAGUACACAAAACUCCCCUGGAGGGCUUUCCAUUUAAAGGGGAGAGAGGAGAGCAGACCAACAGUACGCCAGUGCAAAGCUAUAGCAACAUGUGGAGCUGAGCAUGGAGCGUGUGUGCACGUGUGCACGCGUGUGCGUGCGCAUGUGUAUGUGAGAGAGAGAGAGAGAGAGAGAGAGAGUGUGGUGUCUGUGAAUGUGUGAGUGAGUGUGUGUGUGUGUGUGUGUGUGUGUGUGUGUGUGGUGUCUGUGAAUGUGUGUGUGUGUCUGUGUGUGUGAGUGUGGUGUCUGUGAAUGUGUGUGAGAGUGUGUGUCUCUGUGAGUGUGUGUGUGUGUCUGUGAGUGUAUACGUGUGAUUGUGAGUGUGUGUGUCAUGUGCUGUUUGUCUGCUUGCCAGCCUCAGUUCAGAACCAGCAGCAAGGCAAAGCCAAGAGCAGCAAACUGCCUUCUGAGAACACCAGAGAAACAACAGCCUUUGCCCGACCAUCUAUUUUCUGCCCGUUUUUUUUUUUUUUUCUACACUGAAGGCUUAGGCAGAGAACUGACAACAUUUUCAAUUCGAAGCUUAUUCAACAUUUUUGUGUUGCCACAAUUAGGUAUCUCAGAAGCAUGUGCUGCCUUCCAUUCAAACCCCAGCGUCCGCUCUGACAGGUCACAGACUAAAAAACCAGGAUAAUGACAUUCUAUCUUGAUCGCAGGAUCCAGACGCACCAGUCUGGUGUAGAUCAAAAAAGAAAACAACAACUCAAGUGCUGAUUUAAUUUCCUUUGCCUCAGAUAUUGAGUUCAUAUUGAAAUGGCAUACCCAGCGUGAGUUUUGUUAAGAAUAUAGCUUCUUAGCAGUCUGUGAAAUCUACAAAAGUUUAAAGAAAUGUAAAGUCCUAAUGCAUGAUGAUUCAUAUUCAUUUGUUUUGCUAAUGGUUUAUAUACCUGUGUGGAUACUUUCAUUAAACAGGAUAGGUAAGGAGAUCUGAAUGAUUUAGAAUUUUAAAUGGUUUGUAUGUAUCCAGAACAUUGAGGAGAGAAUGAUGUAAAAUUUAAAAACUGAAUGUAUGGGUGCAUACAGAUGCCUGUGGGGCCAGAAGAGGGCAUCAGAUCCCCUGGAUCUGGAAUUAGGCAGUUGGGAGUGGCCCAAUAUGGGUGCUUGGAACUCUUCAGAAGUACGGCCCUUGUCAGGAGAACUAUACCACCUUAAGCACUGAGCCAUCUCUCCAGCCCUGGAUAUACUUUGGUUGGAAGACAGGCUCCAUUUGCUUGAGCAUCUCUUUAAUCUUACCAAUUCCAUCCCUGUUACCAUUUGAAGUUGUCAAUUACCCAGUCUUAACAGUUAUAUUGUAGAUACAGUGAGCCCACUUGGACUUUCCCUCUGGGGUUGAAAGAGUUACUCUCUUCUCAAAUGCAGAGACACACUUUCUUACCUUUGCCAACUCCAUCUCUUCUCAAGCACAGAGGCACACUUUCUUACCUUUGCCAACACUUGCCUCACAUUCAACUACUCUUCUGUAGACAGAGAAGUUUGGAAGAUGUGUCUAGAAUGUUUUCUUUUCAUCAGUCACCAGCUCACAAAUAACCACAAGAAGAUUUCUUAUGAAUUAUAAAAGCUUGGCCAUUAGCUUAGGCUGGUGCCACCAGCUCUUAUGACUUAAAUUAACCCAUUUACAUAAAUCUACCUCCUGCCAUACGGCAUUAUCUCUUUUCCAUCUUGCACUUCCUGCUUCCCCUCCAUGUCUGGCUAGCAACUCCACUUUUCUUCUUCUUCCCAGAAGCCUCUCUGUCCCCAGAAGCCCCACCUAACCUCUUCCGGCCUAGCCAUUCAGCUCUUUAUCAAGCCAGUCACAGUGACACAUCUUCACACAGUGUAAAGAAAUAUUCUGCAACAAAUGUGUCAAUCAUGGGGCCACUCCCAUUAUUUCAGUCAGCUUCUCUGCUUUGAAGUCUUGUCUCUUCUCUGGAUUAGGCACAUUACACUGGUAAAUAACCAUAUGCUGUUUGAGCUCGUUGAAAGUGGAUUUGAGGAGUAAAGAGGCCCUCCCUUGCCUCUGCCUAAAGGCAGGCUGUCCCCCUAACUUGGUAAUAAGAAGAAGGGAAAACAGCAAACCCCUAAGAGUAUUAAAAUUAUGUGGCCCUGAGAACAAUUAGAAGGUGAACGAUUUCCAAUCUAGAUGAUGAUUUUUAUUCCAUAAUGUAAGAAUUCGUGUGGUGGAGUGGAAACCGGGAAUUUCAGCCGGGGACUCUCAUUCAUGGAAAUAAAUCUCAACUGGGAACCUUAGCUGAUGGACUAGACUACUCUGGUUGGUUUCUGCUGCAUGUCGUGAGGGCCUGAUUUGAUGAUGUCAUCUAUCUAUUGCCCUUUGUUCUUUCCCUUGAAAGCAUCACUGGGGGUGAAGGGGGAAGGUGGCAGUAGGCACUCUAUUGAUGCCUCAGUGAAGCUUCCCCAGGGGAUUUCUGCUGGACAUUUGUACCCCUGUCCUGGUUAGAUGGUACCUUUGCCUGCUCACUCAGUUGGGCCACUCCAGUCACCUCUGCUGCAUGUGUGAGCACCUGGUUUGAGAUGUUCUCUGUCUCGUGGUUUCUAUCUGCUACUCACUCUUUACCCACCCUGUAACCUGAUCUGACUAUAUGAUUACUUAAUGAAUGCAAUCAUCCAAAACAGAAAGCACACAACUCUAGAUUAUUCUCCAGAACAUAUGGAACAUAAUUGGCACAGUCUGUAGGAUCUAUUAGAUUCCAUUCCUAAAUAAACCAAUCUAAUAAAUCCUCUUUAACAAUUCAUAAUCAUUAUGCCAGUUCUUUUCCUUCAGAGAGCUCUGAGCAAUAACAGACACUCUCUUCUUAUUCUCAAACAAAGUGAACAUGGUGACUUACAGGACCAAAGGAACUUGCAGAGGUGGGUAGUAAGGAGUCUGAGAUCUUGGACCAUCCAUGUGUGUACAGUGUCAUUUCUGGAGUCCUUAUCCAAGGGAAACAAGGGGGUCAGAGAAAGACAAGGAGGAGGCGUGAUGAAGGUGGAGAUGAGAAUGAUUAAAGAACAUGAGAAGCUUCUAAAAGCUGAAGAGACAAAGGAAAAAAUUCUUCCCUAUACCCUCCAGAAAGAAGACAGCCCCACUGAACCAUAUCAGGUUCCAACUCCCAGCAUUAUAAAAUCAUUAAUGCGUGUUGUUCAAGGCACAACAAUCUUAUAUCAUCAUCAAGAAACUGGAUACACCCCACUUUCUCAUUUUAGUCUUGCAGAAAGAACAUGGCUAAUCAGUAACCCCUCCUUGAUUUAUUUCUCUUCAUUCUUCCAGAAAGACUCUUCAAUCGGAUUAGAGUGUUGCCUUGGGGUUACUAUUGCUCUAAUGAAACACCAUGACUAAGUCCAAGUUGGGGAGGGAAGGGCUUAUUUGGCUUACACUUCCACAUCACUGUCCAUUACUGAAGGAAGUCAGGACAGGAACUCAAGCAGGACAGGAAUCUGGAGGCAGGGGCUGAUGCAGAGGCCAUGAAGGGAGGCUGCUUACUGGCUUGCUCCUCAGGAUUUGCUCAUCCUGCUUUCUUACACAGCUCAGGACCACAAGCAAAGGGAUGGCACUACCCACCAUGGGCUGGGCCCUCUCCCAUCAAUAUUAAUUAAGAAAAUGCCUUACAGCCAGAUCCUAUGGAGAUAUUUUCUUAAUUGGGGUUCCCUCCUCUCAGAUGACUCUAGCUUGUGUCAAGUUGACAUAAAACUGUCCAGCACAAGUGCCAGUCAGCUUCCUAAAACUGUAUUUACAGUUUUUUGUCAUAUGCAUUUUUUUCUGGGAAAUGAUCCACUGAAAGUGAUCUAUGUUUCAGCAUUGGAAAUGUCAGUCUUGCCUGGGCACUCUCAACUUCCUGCAUUAUCCCAAGAAGAGUGUGAUGGAGAUAAAAGAAGAAAAGGGUGAGAAAGAGCAUUGUCACUGUCCUUUGUUGGUGGUCCUUCCUCCAGGCAAACGAGGAGGCUGGGUGAGGUUUCCUACAAAAUGGCAUGCCUCUAUUCCCUUUAGGCACUGUUCUUUCUUACUUAGGCCAAAACCAGUCCAUAGUUGCCAAUAAGUUUGCUGAGAGGCAUUUUGUUGUACUCUCUGCUGUACUGGACAUGGUGGCAUUGAGACUGGCAGUGUACACAGGUGGUGUCCCUGAGGACCUGGCUUCCCUCCGUUCUUGUCCAUGACCACAGAUUAUGUCUUGACCACUACAUAGAGUUUAAGGGCAUCUCUGUGAGUUGGAACUUCUUUUCGCGCCUGUAAGGAUGUGGGCAGAAGAGGGAGUGUUUCCUGUCUGAUUCUCACAGGAGCUGUUAGCAGUAUCCUCACAUGAGCAAAGAGGGAAAGGUUAUUCAGAGUGAACCAUGGGCACAGAACUGUGUGGAGACUGUUGUUGCUGUCAGUGUGUGUGUGCACAUAUGCAUGCAUGUGUGCAUACGUGUGUGUGUGUGUGUGUGUGUGUGUGUGUGUGUGUGUGUGUGUGUAGUUGCUAGUAAAGGCCACAAGACAGAAGAUCCUCAGGAACUAGAGUUCCAGGCAUUUGUGAGCAUGGAGCUAGGACCUGAAUUCAGGGCCUCUGAAAGAACAGUGCAUGCUAAGCCAUCUCUCCAGCCCCUGGCUGGCUUCCGUCUGAAACAGUGUCAACAGCAACCCAGCUGUAGCUUGCUUUCAAGAAAGCUGUAAGUGUAAAAGAAACUGAAUGUAUUUUGUUUGCUGAACAAACUCGAAAAGAAACCAUAACAAUGACUUGAAAGUACAUAUAAAGACAACACAGUUGCCAAGGACUCUUCUCUCAGCUCUGUGUCAUGCCUUUGUGUCGUAUUUUAGAUAUUCAGAACUGAUAGCCCAUACCCUCCCUGUCCUCUGACAGAUUGGGGGACUAUAAUGAGAGCCGAUCCACAGUCUGUAAGGUUAAGAUAUCUUUAUUCAGAUAAACACCAACCAAAUGCAAGCCAGAGCGUGCCAGGGACAGCAAGGCAGGCAGGCAGAGAGAAGGGCCCCCAUGUGCCUUGCAGCCCCUUAAAAACCUAUCAUGAGUCAUCCUGACCUCACCUUGACCACGCCUUCACAGGCGUGGUCAGGCACACCUGUAGCCAGCCCUUAGGAGGCAUUGUUACGGUGUCUCCCUACAGGGGACUAUGGAAAUGGCAGAUCCAGACACAAAAUCCAACUGUUCGGAAUCUGAGUUCAGCCAUACCCUUUACUUCCAGCACCUACAAGGUCUCUUUCCCCAGCAAAGAGAUUUCAAGCAGCAGGCAUGCUGCCUGGCAUUAAUAUCUUAUUUGCUUUCAUGGGGAUGAGACAGUCCCUGCAUUAUCUUUUCCAUCUAUGAAUCGUUUACUCAAUACAAUCUCUGUAUAGAUGAGUCAUAAUUGACAGUGUUGAAAUACUCAAGUCAUCUAGGUAAGUGCUCAAUUGAAGCAAACUACUUUUUUCUUUGCCUGCUAAUGCCUCAGGAUAAAAGGGCAAUGUUUUCUAAAGCAGUUUUGCUUUUAGGUAUUAAUCUAAACAUUAGAACCAUGUGUCUUGUAUGUUUAUACAUCUCAAAUUGUAUAUAUGUACAAUUAUUUACACAAUUAUAUCUAUAAUUACAUAAUUAAUAUGUGGUUAUAUGUACUUGUACAAUAUCAAUUGUGUAUCUACCCAAACACAUUAUAUGUAAUGUAUGCACAAUUAUACACGGAGGGAGAAUGAAAUGAUAAAGUUCCCUAGAGCUCCAUGGAACACGAAUAAGCAUAUGGACUGUUCCCUUACACCUACUCCACAAGUUUGAGUAUUGAAGAUUUAUAUAGUUAGAGACUAUGUGGUGUAAAUAUGUAUAAAUUUAUAUUGUGCUAAUUUAUGGCAUGUGGUACAGAAGGCUGCUUGCAAGUUGCAGCGUAUUUCUUCCCACGUUUCUGCUGAAAUAUUCAUCUCUGGGUCCCUUCCUCAUGCUUGCCUUUGUCUCCCCGCAGAUGUUUGGAGCAGCUUGUUUUCAGAGGAGUGGAAGUAUGCUUCCUGAAUGCGAUUCAGGUAAAGAAUGCACUAUCUCAGCUAGGAGGCAACUGAAAGGGACCCCCUCACCUCCAGGUCUACCAGUUUCUCUUUGGAAGACAAUUGCUUCCAUGUAACAACAUUCUUUGUAUCUGCUAUCCCCUGUCCUACAUGCAUGACAGCAUCUUGUAAUCUAUGUGUUAGAACUCCAGUGGAGAGGGGAAACCUCAGAUUGUACACACACAUACUCCCUCACACAUACUCACCUGCACACACACACACACACACACACACACACACACACACACACACACACCUGCACACACCCUGACAUACACACAUUUCUACACGCACACACAUAUACAUAUAUAUGUUGUUUUUUAAAUAAACAUACCCUGGUGUGCAGUUUCAUUUGUAUAUUAGACACAGAAAGAGACUAAAAAUGAUAACCAAAAAAUAUAGCAAUAAUUACAGCACACCAUGACACAAAUUAUUAAAACCAAUGAAGUGUUAAUUCCUGAAAUGUUCCAUUUAAUAUUUUUUGACCAGAGGUAACCUAAACCACAGAAAUAGGCAAGACAGGAGUAAAAAAAGAAGUGUAUACAUAAAAUCUGCUUUAUGGGCCAAUACAUACACACACACACACACACACACACACACACACACACACACACACACACACAGAGAGAGAGAGAGAGAGAGAGAGAGAGAGAGAGAGAGAGAGAGAGAGAGAGAGAGACUGACUUACUUUAGAAGCACUCUGUCUAGUCCACCCCUAGUUAUUUGUGGCUGUACCAAAGGGGGAAAAAAUGGCUGGAGAUUCACAGAGGGCUCACGGACUGCAUUCCACUUAGCCCACUCUUGCAUCCCUGUAGGUUGCUGAAUGUCAUCCAGUUGACCUGCUUGAGUUAAUCAAUGUGUGUUUUCCUGGUCCCUCCACCUUGAGGCGUGUUCGUGGGAAGUGGAAUGACUGAGAAGGAGGCAGUGGGCAGGAAGAGGAAGAAGACCGGAGCCCCAAAUUGAUUAAACAGACCCCAGAUGAUCACCAGCUCACAGGGGACGGCGAGAGGUUUUAACCACCCACAGCUCUCCGUAGCCCAGAGAGUCCCUUCACAGGUCAGAUCCCUCUCUUGGCCAUCUAUUUUUAGAUUGCUCACUUUUCAUCUCCUGUUAGAACUGUGCUGCUAGAGCAGUUUCAGAAGAGACAUACUUGUGGUAGUAAUGGAAGCAUCUAUCGAUCGUACCAAGAUUGGAGAAUCAGAUCUACUUUGCAGGUCUUUUAAGUACCACUCAUUCACUAGCCCUCUCCCAGUGUUCCACCGCGGCAAGCUAACAUUUGCACACAUCUUCAACAUUUUGGAACCUUUUUAAAAAUGCAUGUUACCACACGAGCAUUUCUCAAUUGCCCUGUCAGCUUUAAGGUUUUUGCAGUGGAAGAAAAAUUGUUAAGUGUUUAUGAGGGAAGGUCUUAGAGUCAUUUAGCUGCUAAAUGUCACAGACCUAACACAACCAUAGCCUGCCUUUCCAAGAGGGAUUAGGAUGUCCUCUUGGACACCCUGGGUUGAGUAAAGCAAACAAACACAAAGAGUCCUGCAUCUGGAAUAAUUGCUGACAUGCAAGGUUUGCUAAUCUUUCUGGUGCUCCUGUCUGAUCUCCUCAGUGCCAGGAGCUGUUCCGGGUGCUUGCCUUCCAUGCUCACCACAGUCAGUGAGACCACACUCAGCUAGAAAAGAGUGUCCACGCUGAGGGGAAAUCAACAGAAAAAUGUGUCUGUAUAGAUUGUAGGGCCCUGGUAGAGGGUGAACUUUAGGAAGUUGGGGGGCCAUAUGAAUCCUGUGGCAGGUAAAGGGGUGCUGCUGAGAGUUUCCGGCAUGAAGGCACGACUUCCUUCCUGGGCCAUCUCUCACCUUCCCUAUAAUCUCUCGAGGGAGGUGAAAUGUUGGGACUACUCCAUUGCUAUUUUUCAAGUUUGGGGAAGGUGUGAUUUUGCUAGAAUGGAUAUUGUCAAUGACAAAACUGAGUCCCUGAGCCAAAUGGCUUCGAUGGUUAGUGUUGAUUUCCAACUUGGCAGGAUCUGAAAUCACCCUGGAGACAGGUUUCCAGGCACACUUGUGAGGGAUGAUUUAGAUCCAUAUAGUCCCUGGGCAGGCCUAUGAGGGACUUCCUUGGUUAAGCUAACGGAGAUGAGAAGAGCCAUCCUCUAAUUGUACUUGUGUUCUGGACAGCAUUCCAAAGAGAAGGAAGGAAGCCUCCCAAGGGGAUUCACCACCCUGGUCCCCGUCUGUAGAUGCAGCACAACCAACUGUCUCAUGUUCCUACCAGCAGCGUUUCUCCACCCUGAUGGACUUUGAACUGUGAACCAAAUAAAGCCCUUUCUCCCAUAAACUACUUUUGUCAGGAUAUUUUAUCACAGUGAUGGGAAAAGAAACUAGUUCAGUGGUGUUUGCAGAAAUUUGAUAAGGAAAUGGCUUGAAGAAUCUUGAAUGCAUUCAAAGGGGGGAAUCCUUUAGCAUCGACCGAAGAAACCCAUGCAGUGGAUUUUAAAGUUAGACAACUGAAAAUAUCAACUCGAAGGGCAACAAUUUGAUUGGUUAUGAUUCUCAGUGGGAUAGGAGGGAGGAGAUGACCCCUGGAUCUAAAAACAGGUGCCAUGCCUCUAUGAGUCUUUCUCUUCCUCUGACAGAUCCAUGAGUAAUUGACUUCAUUUACCAAACAGGCUGAGCACACGUAAAAUUAGGCUACUCAUCUGAACGAGGGGAAAAAAAACUCCUGUUUCCCGGCGUAGUCUCAGAGCACCAUGUGUGAGAGAACACGACAGAAUAGAACUGAUUAUGCAAAAUGAGCGAAAAGAGAACUGCAUCUCUUGGUGGCAUGUGGCAGCCUUGCAGGGAAGGCAGAGCCCAGGGACACUGGGUGCUAUCUCUGACAGCCAUGUGUCACAAAACUGAAUGGCAGGAUGGGGCUAAGAUAUGGGCUUGUAUGUCCUUGUACACAGCCCUCCGAGAUAUGCCUGCAGUACACACAAACUACUCACACAUUCAAAAGAUGCCCUGAGGGGCCACUAGUGACAACAUCCACAUGGAGGAAAAAGGAAAACACUAUUCAUCCCCCCCCCAGCCCUGUUUUUUGGGUUAUCCCAUAGUCUCCACUCUGCACAGUGACUGCAAAAGCUUUGAAGAGGCUGGAAAUGAUUGCCUGCUUACAUAGAGAGGUAGUAAGGAGGUGAGGAUGGAGAGAGGCUUUUUAGUUCUCCAAGAACAUAGACAGACAGGGAAUCCAAGUGGUGUUCUGAAGAUGAGGAUGCUUGCUCAGUGUGUCUACUGUGAGCCUAGUAGCUAUCUAGGGUCCUGGGUCCCUACUGCAAAAAUAAAUAGAUAAUGCCUUACUUUAAGAUCCCUCUCCAAAGUGUGUCUAUAGAUAUGUAUAUACUUACGACUGAAUCCAGACAUUAAUGACAUUCGGUGCAUAAAAGCACGUGUCCUCCACGAAGGUUUGAAGACCUACGUAAUGAACUCUGUAUACUGAUGCCUAGUUGCAAUCAUGGCAGUAUAGACUCACCAGGAGAAAAUGACAUGACUGCAAGACUGGGUGCUUUGACAACAGACAUUUGAUUCUCUGUCCCUUCAUCAUCUUGGGAACGGACAAUAGGAUUCUAAGGACAGUGUCUCAGAGCAGAAGGACUUGCUCUGUUCAAAACUUGGAAAAUCUGAAUGAUAAGAUAAUUAAAUCGAUCACAGAUCACAAACCACUGGGGGAGGGGGGUUACAAAAAAUGUGCAUCCAUGCUGAUCCUGAAAGUAAUUCAAGGAGAAGAAGGCAUUCUUGCUUAGAGCUAAGUCUUCAAGACCAGUUGGUAAACUUCGGAAAACCAUGAUUUUUGUAAGCAUUAUGGUGCAGACUAGAAGUGUCGCUUUGAUGCUAAGUCUCAUAGGGAACUUUGAAAAAAGCAGGAUAUCUUCAUGGUUUAAAAGUAUGCGUGUGUGGGAAGGAGAGUUUUCUGAAAUAUAGAAUGUUGGCUGACAGUACCGGGGAACAGGUUGGCCAUACUGGGCCUGAGGGAAAACUGGGUCGGCCCCAGACUCCUUCUUCAUGGUCUUAAAAUACAGGAGAUACUGGAAGCAACAGCCAACGGCUGUAAAGAGGAUGGUGAUUCAUGAAUUCUAUAUGAAGCCAGAUCAUUGUUCUGUGAAGGGAACAGAAUGUUAUUUUAAGCUAUGCGAUGACUUAAAAAAUAUACAACUCAUUUACUCUUUUUGACAACUACUCUAGGUACCUGAGUGACUAACUAAAGACAAGACAUUCUUGGCACAAAAGUCCUCAAACCAUCUAAAUAAGAGUUUCUCUAACACUUUGAAGUAUUUUUGAGGGAAUUGAAUACAAGAUGUCAUCAAUACUUCCUAAAAUAAUUCUCAGCAUGAAGUAAUAUUGGUAGCACCAACACCGAUUUAAAACUAUGAAAUAAAACAAAAAAAAUCCAUAUUAACUCACAAGAAGAUGGGUUCAAGGGGAAGGGGUGAGAAAGUUUAUAUUAAUCUCACUGUUUGCUGGGAAGGUGAUGUGAAUCCCAGAUUUGACAGGAAGGAGAUAUAGUUCACUCCAGUGCUGUAACUGGUGAGUUUGUGAUGACGCUUAGACUCACAUGGAAUCUGGUAAAAGAUGCUGAAGCAUCCUUGCCAUGAUCACAAUAGGUGACUACAGUUAACCCCUAGGCCUUAAAGCAGUGGUUCUCAACCAUCCUAAUGCUGCAGCCCUUUAAAAACAGUUCCUCAUGUUGUGGCGAACCCAACCAUAAAAUCGUUUUCAUUGCUACUUCUUAGCUAUAAUUUUGCUACUGUUAUGAAUCAUAAUGUAAAUAUCUGAUAAGCAGGAUCCCUGAUAUGUGAACCCUGCAAAAGGGUCUUUCAAACCAAAGGGGGUCACGACCCACAGGUUGAGAACCACCCCAGGAAGGAGGGAUUGCUGUAACUAUGUGAGCAAUGGCUAUAGCCAUGGCUGCAGGAGAGCAACCCCAUUUGGAGCCAUCUUCAGUAGAAGAAUAUGGUCCUACACACUUGGAAUCCUUCUGGAAGCAAGUUUGAAGUCAUUACACUCGGCUUCCAUUCCCCACAUCCCCCAUACUCUGCCACAGCCAGCCAGUGGCUAGAUGCCAGGGUAAUCUGUGAUUGAAGAAGCCUUGUUGAUAUGCCAAGAUAUCAGUCUCUGAGCCUCCAGGACCUCAGGAGAAACCACAGGACAUUCAGCAGUAACAGUGGAUACCGUCAUUUAGGGUAUUUGUCUCACUAAAGAUACAGAGGAAACGAGUCAAAUCAAUUUGACACGUGGUGUGUUUUCUGCUCUAGGAGCCUAAAAUUCAUCCAUACUCUACAAACAGUAAGAACUAGAGUGAAAGGCCCAUUCACCCUGAGUGUCUAAAAUGUAUUUCAUGGUAGAAUUUGUCAAGAAUGACAACUCUUGAUACCCAUGGAAUUGGGAAAUACAAUACUAACACGUUCAAGAAUGUGCUUUCUACUUUACAAACCACAACUAAUGAAAACUCAUAAAGCAAAAAAAGAGAGAGAAAAUAAUACCAAAGGGCCCUCUAAAACUAGAAAGCUCCAUAAGUUAGUUAAGCCAAAACAUAAAGGACACAGAUCCCUUACAGAAAGACAGAAGCUGCUCAAAUUAACUUUGAAAUAAUAAGUUAACAAGAACCUUAUUUCAUUUUUUAAAAACAAAGUUUUAGAAAUUACAUAUAAAUGAUUACUAUUUGGAAGUAUCCCAAAUGCCCCUUGCUUUGGAAUUUGCCUUUGCCUGAGCUUGAAGAUGAUCAAGGAGAUAAGAAAAGACAGUUGUUAAAAUGGAAGAGGGAAAUUAAUGCUGAAUUUCUAACAUCUGCAUCUAGAAUCUUAGUUGCAAUGCUAGGGAAAAGUAUUUCAGGGUCUUUAUAGAUCUCCCUCCUAAACCCAGCAAGGGUUAGAGCUGAUGGGUCAUUUUCAUACUGUGCAUAAGACCCAAAGAGGAAACACUUAAAACAGAGGGAUUGAAAGACAAAAAAGUUACUCCUCUCAUUUUCCCAAAAUGGAAGGGCAGUUGAGAAGGGAGAGAUGGGUGGAACAUGGUGUCCUGUUUCCCAAGCUGGGCACUGAUCUGGAGAGGGCAUGGUGAGGGCUAAGGGGUUGAGACUGUGUCUCUACAGCAAGCUCAGGGAGACCCAUGAAACUAAACUCAGACAUGUCGAGUGGGUAAGCAAAUGAAGGGAUUUAGUUUAGCUGUAUAAGAGUUCCUUUGUUAUGGACAGAAUAAAGAACUUCCAACAUUCCCUAGGGAGAGAUGUCAUAGGUAGCUAAGGGUAUUGUCUAGGCAACCUGCCUCACUGGGCCUUUCUUUGUCCAGUGACAUGCUCUUGAGGGGUCAGAGGCAGAGGCUAAUGGCUAAUCCUGAAGGAAGAAUGCAAGUCCCCAUCAAAACCAUUAGUCUUCUUGGGCCAAUGGUAGCUAAAGCCCCAUCAUCAAGGGAAGAGGGGUGCAUUGCUUCAGUUAUAACACAGUACCCAGGAGACAUCAUAGGGGUCGCUGUUGCCCAUCUCUAACCAGUGAUAAUUCACACCUGAUUCUUAUUCAGCCUUUACAUUCGAGAGGCUGUGAAAGAUGAAGGAUGGACUGAGACACUGUCUUAGAGUGGAUUUGGAAGGAUAUUGUGACCUGCUGUCCCCAUUGGCCUGGUCAGGAUGUGGGAAUUUUAGUGCCCAUACCGAGACCAUAUGAGCAAACCAGUAUAAGCCUAUCACUACAUGGGUAGCCAAACGGAAAGGUUGGAAGCUACUUUAUCAUCCAGGCUCAGCUUGAGCUGCUUGGAGACCACUUAAACUAAUAUUCUGGAGUGAGUCAUCCAAAUUGGGCUCAAAUUUACUUACCGAUCUUCUCCCUUUCCCUCAGUUCUUCAGUACUAGGAGAUCAUAGCAAUUUCAGAACGAUGUCAUCACACAACUGAGAGUAAUAAGAUAGAGCGUGCCAAAGAGAGCAGUCCCCACAACAGCAAAACUAAAUAAGCAGCAUGACACAAAGUGGAGGAACCGCUUCUGAAGGAGGAAUUCGUAUAGAAUUCAUCAUCCACCAUGACGAAUAGAAAAUCCACAGCCAUGGGGGAUGGAAGAAGCAGUGUUACAUACUGAGCUACAGGGAGUGUCAGAGUGUGGGCUCCCUAGAGCAUGGGUGUCAGUAAGUCCUGUGACUUCUGAAGUUUAUAACCUAGGCAGGGAUUCACUGACUGAAUACAGGAGGGGAAAUGCUGUACAAUACAGCAGUUCUCUUGAGAAAGCCAACUGCUGGAAACCAGGGAGGGAUGAUAAGGCAAAUAUAAUUUAUUGGACAGAAGAGAGGUGUUCUGAUUUUGUGUGUGUGUGUGUGUGUGUGUUCAUAAGACAAAGUACUCAGACCAAAAUCAACUUGAGGAAGAAAGGGUUUAAUUCAUCUUACACUUCCAGAGUACAGCCUAUCGCUGAGGGAAGUUGGGAUAGGAACACUGCUUGCCCCUCACUCUACGUGCUGAGCCCUGUAACCAGGACUACCCACCUAGGUAUGGUACCUCCCAUGGUCCUUUUACAUGAAUUAGCAAUCAUGAAGAUGCCCCACAGUCAUGUUCAUGGGCCAAUCUGAUCUAGGCAAUUCUCUGAUUGAGAUUCUUCUUCCCAAGUGACUCUAACAUGAAUCAGAAAACCCAACCAGGACAGGAGAGAAAGACAGAUAUCCAGAUAAGUCCCCUUAAUUCAAUGGUUCUCAACCUUCCUAAUACUGUGACCCUUUAAUACACAUCCUCAUGCUGUGGUGACCCCCAAUCAUAAAAUUAUUUUCAUUGCUGUUUCAUAACUAAAUUUGAUACUGCUAUGAAUUGUAAUAUAAAUAUCUGCUAUUCAAUCCAUGUGAAAGGGUCAUUAGUUGUCCCCAAGGGGUAGCAACCUAUUGCUUUAAUAUAUCAGCAGGAAGAAAACUAGGAAGAAAUAUAAGAAAGAAAGAUAAAAAUUUUCUAAGCUCAUAUAAUACUGGAAACUGAACACAGUUUCGGCUAUAAGAUGGGAGCAAUGCUGUAAGGAUGAGCAUGCAACCAGAAGGGACUAACCCUGGUAUGGGAAUAACAGCAUCUCUGGGCUUGUCCUAGCAAGGUUAAAACCAAGGUGACAAGAGGAUUAAACUGAACUGAAAUCAGUUAACCACACUCUACAACAAAGUCCCACAUGGAAAGAAUACAACCUGGUACCUGGAAAUAUAAAGUUCACAAUGCCCAGUAUCUCAUAAAAAUAUCAACAAGGAUUCAAAGUUACAGGGAACCGUGACUCUUAACAAGAAGAAUACGUCAUAAGUAGAAAGAGAUACAGAAAUAACAGGUGAUGUGAUUACUGGAAAAAGACUUAAAGCCACUAUUAAUGUGCAAGUUUUAUAAAUAUGGUCAAGCAUUUAAGGACAUUAUGUACAUGAAAAAGAGAAAACAGAAGAGUUUAAGAGUAGGCAGAUAAACCCUAAUGGGAAACCCUAUUAAAAACUACCUGUAAUAAAAAUCAUAGUGAAUAGGACUAGUGGCAGAGUAAACAUGGCAGUGAGUUGGUAUCACAGCAAGAGAAACUCCUCCAGAUAACAUAUAGGUGUUUUUGCAAAUUCAAAGAAAGUGGACAGAGAACUGACGACCUGGGGGAAAGUAUCAGGAAGUUUGACAUACAUGCGAUUGAGUUCCAAGGAAGAGAGAAGAAAGAACAAUAUAGUUUCUUCUGAAUUUACAGGAGAUUUCUAUCACAAUAAAUGCCUCUAGAAGUGGAAACUAUCAUUAGGUCCGAAGUGUAUUUUAUCCAUUCCUACUGAAUAUCAUAUCCGCUCCCACAGUGCAGUGUGGUAAGAGCUUUUUUCCCUGGUGUUGACAUGUCUGAUUGGAGCUGUGGGUCACAGCAGCUGUCAGUCCUGAGAUGGGAUUGCUCUGCAUAUCAUUAGCAUUGAAAGACUCUAAAUUCAAAACUUGAAGCAUAGUUUCUACCUAAUGACAAUCAUUUUUGCAGUAUUCGACUAUGAGCAGAGGUAGAAACAGUAAAUGGGGUCUGUGACUAGGCACCUUCAGAUAAAACAAUACACAGCUCUCUG